UACAUAGGUCUCAAGCGUUGUUCGGAUUCAUUGGGCGUAAAGGGUGCGUAGGUGGCUCCGUAAGUCAGGUGUGAAAUUUCGGAGCUUAACUCCGAAACUGCAUUUGAUACUGCGGUGCUUGAGGACUGGAGAGGAGACUGGAAUUUACGGUGUAGCAGUGAAAUGCGUAGAGAUCGUAAGGAAGACCAGUGGCGAAGGCGGGUCUCUGGACAGUUCCUGACACUGAGGCACGAAGGCCAGGGGAGCAAACGGG
RNAcentral lists this ribosomal RNA (253 nucleotides) under uncultured bacterium. RNAcentral describes it as "partial 16S ribosomal RNA". It matches the Rfam family "Bacterial small subunit ribosomal RNA", at positions 524 to 776 of the family's 1533-position model. The record is from RNAcentral.